RNAcentral lists this transfer-messenger RNA (249 nucleotides) under Coriobacteriales bacterium. RNAcentral's name for it is "partial transfer-messenger RNA". It matches the Rfam family "transfer-messenger RNA", at positions 110 to 374 of the family's 374-position model. Rfam says of the family: Bacterial tmRNA, also known as 10Sa RNA or SsrA, is named for its dual tRNA and mRNA-like properties. Its role is to liberate the mRNA from a stalled ribosome. Lineage: Bacteria; Bacillati; Actinomycetota; Coriobacteriia; Coriobacteriales. The record is from RNAcentral.
UUACGCACUCGCCGCUUAAACUAAGCUGCGACGUCAAAUCGGGGUGCGUCCCCACCCCCGAGGCGACGUCACUUUGGGGACUGCUCUGUACUGUGUAGUCGGUAUGGGUACAGAAAAGAUUAAACCGGCUAGCUGAAGGCCCUUUUGUUGUUUUGGGGACCUAAAGCGAAAGAUCCGAAACAACUGAGCAUGGAGAUGCCUGGCAGGGAGCAUGUAUGGACCGGAGUUCGAUUCUCCGCGCCUCCACCA